RNAcentral lists this ribosomal RNA (253 nucleotides) under uncultured bacterium. RNAcentral describes it as "partial 16S ribosomal RNA". It matches the Rfam family "Bacterial small subunit ribosomal RNA", at positions 524 to 776 of the family's 1533-position model. The record is from RNAcentral.
UACGGGGGGGGCAAGCGUUGUUCGGAAUUACUGGGCGUAAAGGGCUCGUAGGCGGCCAACUAAGUCAUACGUGAAAUCCCUCAGCUUAACUGGGGAACUGCGUGUGAUACUGGAUGGCUUGGAUUUGGGAGAGGGAUGCGGAAUUCCAGGUGUAGCGGUGAAAUGCGUAGAUAUCUGGAGGAACACCGGUGGCGAAGGCGGCAUCCUGGACCGGUAUUGACGCUGAGGCGCGAAAGCCAGGGGAGCAAACGGG